GCUCGCGUAGCUUAAUAUUAAAGCAUAGCACUGAAGAUGCUAAGAUGAAUUUUAAAAGAUUCCGCAUGCAC
This 71-nucleotide transfer RNA is filed under the name Pseudocrossocheilus tridentis. RNAcentral describes it as "tRNA-Phe". It matches the Rfam family "tRNA". From Rfam's summary of the family: Transfer RNA (tRNA) molecules are approximately 80 nucleotides in length. Their secondary structure includes four short double-helical elements and three loops (D, anti-codon, and T loops). Lineage: Eukaryota; Metazoa; Chordata; Actinopteri; Cypriniformes; Cyprinidae. The record is from RNAcentral.